UACGGAAGGCAGCAGGGGGAAUAUUGCACAAUGGGCGAAAGCCUGAUGCAGCUAUGCCGCGUGUAUGAAGAAGGCCUUAGGGUUGUAAAGUACUUUCAUCGGGGAGGAAAAAACAAAACUAAUAAUUUUAUUUCUUGACGUUACCCGAAAAAGAAGCACCGGCUAACUCCGUGCCAGCAGCCGCGGUAAUACGGAGGGUGCUAGCGUUAAUCAGAAUUACUGGGCGUAAAGAGCACGUAGGUGGUUUUUUUAAAGUCAGAUGUGAAAUCCCUGGGCUUAACCUGGAACUGCAUUUUGAAACUGAAAUACUAGAGUAUCGUAGAGGGAGGUAGAAUUCUAGGUGUAGCGGUGAAAUGCGUAGAUAUCUGGAGGAAUACCUGUGGCGAAAGCGGCCUCCUAAACGAAUACUGACACUGAGGGUGCGAAAGCGUGGGGAGCAAACGAGGGAUUAGAUACC
This 457-nucleotide ribosomal RNA is filed under the name uncultured bacterium. RNAcentral's name for it is "bacterial SSU rRNA". It matches the Rfam family "Bacterial small subunit ribosomal RNA", at positions 340 to 786 of the family's 1533-position model. The record is from RNAcentral.